AUGCUCACAAAGGCGCAAUGGAUUGCCCUGUCAAAAGAAAAGGAGGGCGGAUCUACGAGCAGUGGUAUGAAGAACGGGAAAGGGAAGCAGCGCUCGGCAAGAAAGAACUUCGCCGACUCGGAUGACGAGUCAGAUGAUGAGGCUGCACCACCACCGAGGAGAAAGUUUGACAUCAGGAAAGUGAGGUGUUAUAACUGUGGCCUCCUCGGUCACUUCAAGGCUGACUGCGAGGAAACACCGAAGUAG
Molecule: ribosomal RNA, 246 nt
Filed under: Triticum aestivum (bread wheat)
Lineage: Eukaryota; Viridiplantae; Streptophyta; Magnoliopsida; Poales; Poaceae
Description: partial small subunit ribosomal RNA
Source: RNAcentral